UCACAAAUUAGUUGCACUAGUUUAAAGAAGGUGCACUUACAAUAUUUAUAUAAAAGUUUUUAAAAAUAAAUUAGUGAGAAUUUGUAUACUCCCUCAGUUUAAUUUAUGUGAAUUUGUUAAUUGAUUUUGAUUUAUUUGUGAAUAUAAGACAUAAUAAUUGCUUUACAUAAUUUUAAAAUGUUUUACUAUUUUGAAUUUACAAGUAGUCAGCAGCUGUUAAUUUAUCAUCUUGGAAAAGUACUGUUUGAUUGCCAAUCCUUUAUCGUAUUGUCAGUACUUUUGUCUUAAAAAAUAGUAGUGACAUUUAAUAUCCAUAACCUUCUCCUAUAUCGUCACUUGUCAUUGUCUCCACUGUGUGACUAACUUUCGCCCAAUUCACAAGCUUUACAUUGCUUGGUUUCUACUAAGGGUGUAUUCUGGCCCCGGCCCGGGCCUAAAUGGGUCUGACAGGCCGGGCUUUGUGAUCCUGGACUUUGUGUGCCGGGCUUGGCGGUUGAGACCGGCCCGUGACGGACUGCUAUCACCAUAUUAAAAUGUGAUUACUCUGUUUAAGGACUUAUUACUGCUACUAAGGUACUUUUUUUUUCCCGGACAUGUAAUUCUCCUUUUAAUUCAAUGAGAACAUGCUUAUAAUGCUAAGGCAGAGAGACUGUUACCAUCACGGGCCAG
Molecule: long non-coding RNA, 669 nt
Filed under: Nicotiana benthamiana
Lineage: Eukaryota; Viridiplantae; Streptophyta; Magnoliopsida; Solanales; Solanaceae
Description: long non-coding RNA (NBEN_LNC011156)
Source: RNAcentral